UAGAACCUUGUGACUUUGGCCAGGCACCAAUCAUCUGCCUCCUUCUGUGCCUGCCUGGCUGCCCCUACCCUGGGGCUCCCUCCUAGCCCCCACCUCACCUACUGGCUCACUGAGACAGAGCCAAACAUGAAAGGGAAGGUGACGGCCUGGCCAUAGGGCCCAGGAAAAUGCAGGUAUCAUUAACAGCCUGGAGCACUGUGGCCUGUCCACUCUCAACCCUCUGCUGCCCACCCCUUCCUGGAAUAGACCCCAGGCCACAUACAGAGGGGGCAAGCCCAAGGUAUGAUACCAGCAGGGCCAAGUGGACUGUCCAGAUGGGUAACGGGGGCCUGCCUUCCUCUGGCCUCCACAUAGGGGCCGCAGGUGUUCACAUGGUUGGAAAUGGGAGGGCCAAUGCUGUUCAUAGGCCGCUGUCUGGUCCACAGGACUCAACUGGCCCUCCGAACGCUAUCCCACUUUCCAGCCAGGAUUGAAGGAGAUCCCAUCUUGGGUCUAAAGGAAUGGGGGUGAAGACUGCAUCUUGUCGUUCCAGUUCCACCCCAUUCUGGCAUGGGAAGCAUGUGUGGGCUUCUACUCUAUGGGAGAUUCAUAGCCUCAAUCCUUAAGGAAUUCUCAAUCUGAAAGGAAAACACAAACCCUGACCUCAGGGAGCUCCCAGUUUGACAGUGGAGACAGAGAGGCCCUGCAUCAAGUAGAAAAACAACCCCCACUGCUCUCAAGCACACAGCAAUGAAGAUAUGUAUCCUUGGUGCUACAGAUGCUGACGAUACGACAGUGAAUACAACAUGAAAAAACAAGCACACUUCUCACCCCUAUGGAGCUUUAUUCUGGUCAGGCAGAAGGAGAAGGAAAUGUAAACAUGCAAGGUCAGGAGCAACUUUUUGGCACUCCCAUUUUGCAGAAGAGGAAACAGCCUGCCUAGGUCUGCUGAUUCCUGUCCUGGUGAGCUCACUGCCCCAUACUCCCACCCUUGUACACAAAUGGAGGUGCUCUUACAGAAGUUCUGAGCCUGAUUCUGCUGCUGCUUCUCCAGCUAACCUUAGGUGAUGCAUGACUCUACUCUGACAUCCUCUCCAGCUUUCAUCUGUUUUUAUUUUUAUGAUGUGCUGAAGACAGGACAUUGUAUCUGCUCUUCCCUCUGUAAGUCUUGCCAUGCCCUUUGGCCAAAGGCAACUCAAAUAUGGACUUCCUACUGUCACCAUCAAGGUCACUAUGAUCUAAGUGUUUUUUAGGGCUUGUGCAGAGAAGGAAGAAGAUGCCCCCUGCCUUCUCUGCUCCCCAUCAUGUAGGAAAGAAGACACAGGCUGAGCCCCGGGAGGAGAGAUCAAAGCUUUGGAUCUGAAAGAGUGGUUCCAGCCCAGCAGCAUGAACAUGGCCUGGGAAUGUGUUAGACAUGCAGGUUCUCAGGCCCCACCCCACACCUGCUGGAUCAAAAACUCUGAUUUCUGCACUUGAGCAUACAUCACUCAAGUUUGAGAACCACUGCAUUAGAGAACAGAAACCCUCAACCAUAGCAUGCAGGAACAGCGAAGCCAUGAAGACACAU
Molecule: long non-coding RNA, 1546 nt
Filed under: Homo sapiens (human)
Lineage: Eukaryota; Metazoa; Chordata; Mammalia; Primates; Hominidae
Description: HSALNT0334326
Source: RNAcentral